This 466-nucleotide ribosomal RNA is filed under the name Arthrobacter psychrolactophilus. RNAcentral describes it as "bacterial SSU rRNA". Lineage: Bacteria; Bacillati; Actinomycetota; Actinomycetes; Micrococcales; Micrococcaceae. The record is from RNAcentral.
GCGGCGUGCUUAACACAUGCAAGUCGAACGAUGAUCCCUAGCUUGCUKGGGGGAUUAGUGGCGAACGGGUGAGUAACACGUGAGUAACCUGCCCUUAACUCUGGGAUAAGCCUGGGAAACUGGGUCUAAUACUGGAUAUUGACUUUUCACCGCAUGGUGGUUGGUUGAAAGAUUUAUUGGUUUUGGAUGGACUCGCGGCCUAUCAGCUUGUUGGUGAGGUAAUGGCUCACCAAGGCGACGACGGGUAGCCGGCCUGAGAGGGUGACCGGCCACACUGGGACUGAGACACGGCCCAGACUCCUACGGGAGGCAGCAGUGGGGAAUAUUGCACAAUGGGCGAAAGCCUGAUGCAGCGACGCCGCGUGAGGGAUGACGGCCUUCGGGUUGUAAACCUCUUUCAGUAGGGAACAAGGCCAGUGUUUAGUUGGUUGAGGGUACCUGCAGAAGAAGCGCCGGCUAACUACKU